This 253-nucleotide ribosomal RNA is filed under the name uncultured bacterium. RNAcentral's name for it is "partial 16S ribosomal RNA". It matches the Rfam family "Bacterial small subunit ribosomal RNA", at positions 524 to 776 of the family's 1533-position model. The record is from RNAcentral.
UACGUAGGGGGCAAGCGUUGUCCGGAUUUAUUGGGCGUAAAGAGCGUGUAGGCGGCCAGACAGGUCAGCUGUGAAAACUCGAGGCUCAACCUCGAGACGUCGGUUGAAACCGUCUGGCUAGAGUCCGGAAGAGGAGACUGGAAUUUACGGUGUAGCGGUGAAAUGCGCAGAUAUCGGGAAGAACACCCGUGGCGAAGGCGGCUCUCUGGGACGGUACUGACGCUGAGACGCGAAAGCGUGGGGAGCGAACAGG